This 303-nucleotide ribosomal RNA is filed under the name uncultured bacterium. RNAcentral's name for it is "partial 16S ribosomal RNA". It matches the Rfam family "Bacterial small subunit ribosomal RNA", at positions 507 to 807 of the family's 1533-position model. The record is from RNAcentral.
AGCAGUAGCCGCGGUAAUACGGAGGGUGCAAGCGUUAAUCGGAAUUACUGGGCGUAAAGCGCACGCAGGCGGUUUGUUAAGUCAGAUGUGAAAUCCCCGAGCUUAACUUGGGAACUGCAUUUGAAACUGGCAAGCUAGAGUCUUGUAGAGGGGGGUAGAAUUCCAGGUGUAGCGGUGAAAUGCGUAGAGAUCUGGAGGAAUACCGGUGGCGAAGGCGGCCCCCUGGACAAAGACUGACGCUCAGGUGCGAAAGCGUGGGGAGCAAACAGGAUUAGAUACCCCUGUAGUCCCUGUCUCUUAUAC